RNAcentral lists this ribosomal RNA (1373 nucleotides) under bacterium NL4. RNAcentral describes it as "bacterial SSU rRNA". It matches the Rfam family "Bacterial small subunit ribosomal RNA". The record is from RNAcentral.
UGCAGUCGAACGAUGAUGCCCAGCUUGCUGGGUGGAUUAGUGGCGAACGGGUGAGUAACACGUGAGUAACCUGCCCCUGACUCUGGGAUAAGCGUUGGAAACGACGUCUAAUACUGGAUAUGACUGCCGGCCGCAUGGUCUGGUGGUGGAAAGAUUUUUUGGUUGGGGAUGGACUCGCGGCCUAUCAGCUUGUUGGUGAGGUAAUGGCUCACCAAGGCGACGACGGGUAGCCGGCCUGAGAGGGUGACCGGCCACACUGGGACUGAGACACGGCCCAGACUCCUACGGGAGGCAGCAGUGGGGAAUAUUGCACAAUGGGCGAAAGCCUGAUGCAGCAACGCCGCGUGAGGGAUGACGGCCUUCGGGUUGUAAACCUCUUUUAGUAGGGAAGAAGCGUAAGUGACGGUACCUGCAGAAAAAGCACCGGCUAACUACGUGCCAGCAGCCGCGGUAAUACGUAGGGUGCAAGCGUUGUCCGGAAUUAUUGGGCGUAAAGAGCUCGUAGGCGGUUUGUCGCGUCUGCUGUGAAAUCCCGAGGCUCAACCUCGGGCUUGCAGUGGGUACGGGCAGACUAGAGUGCGGUAGGGGAGAUUGGAAUUCCUGGUGUAGCGGUGGAAUGCGCAGAUAUCAGGAGGAACACCGAUGGCGAAGGCAGAUCUCUGGGCCGUAACUGACGCUGAGGAGCGAAAGCGUGGGGAGCGAACAGGAUUAGAUACCCUGGUAGUCCACGCCGUAAACGUUGGGCGCUAGAUGUAGGGACCUUUCCACGGUUUCUGUGUCGUAGCUAACGCAUUAAGCGCCCCGCCUGGGGAGUACGGCCGCAAGGCUAAAACUCAAAGGAAUUGACGGGGGCCCGCACAAGCGGCGGAGCAUGCGGAUUAAUUCGAUGCAACGCGAAGAACCUUACCAAGGCUUGACAUACACCGGAAACGGCCAGAGAUGGUUGCCCCCUUGUGGUCGGUGUACAGGUGGUGCAUGGUUGUCGUCAGCUCGUGUCGUGAGAUGUUGGGUUAAGUCCCGCAACGAGCGCAACCCUCGUUCUAUGUUGCCAGCGCGUUAUGGCGGGGACUCAUAGGAGACUGCCGGGGUCAACUCGGAGGAAGGUGGGGAUGACGUCAAAUCAUCAUGCCCCUUAUGUCUUGGGCUUCACGCAUGCUACAAUGGCCGGUACAAAGGGCUGCGAUACCGUAAGGUGGAGCGAAUCCCAAAAAGCCGGUCUCAGUUCGGAUUGAGGUCUGCAACUCGACCUCAUGAAGUCGGAGUCGCUAGUAAUCGCAGAUCAGCAACGCUGCGGUGAAUACGUUCCCGGGCCUUGUACACACCGCCCGUCAAGUCAUGAAAGUCGGUAACACCCGAAGCCGGUGGCCUAACCC